GUAAUGUGUUCAUAUUUUGUAGGUGGAGACGAAAAAGUAAAUGUUGAUCCAGAUGAUGAUUCUGACUGGUUGCAUAUCAAUUAUACAUUACAGUCAAACGACAUUGAUGCAACGACAGAAGUUCUAACACCAGGUUGGGGUAUUCAUGCUUCACUUCUUGAGCUUGGUAUAUAUUGCUUCCAGAUGCUACGAUCUCCUGUGCUUGGUAUGUUGCUUCCAGACACUACCGCAAGCGUAAUCUAACCCAUUUUAACUAAAAUACUCUUGCGUGGACCUGAAGAUGAUAGCUAGCUGAACACUUUUUACGAUAAUUUUUAGAUUCAUCAGUAGAACUGCUCUAUGAUAAAUCUAGAUCUAGAUUCAGUUUCUAAGCGGUGAUAGGUUCAUGAUUAUGCUUGUGCAUUCAAAGGACAUAUGCUGUUACUCUGAAACUUAUGUCUGCCUUCCUGCCCAUGUGCUCAUCGGAACUGGGACCCUUCUAUUGUUCUUGCCUUUUUUAUUACCUUUUUACUUGCCCUCUCUGCAUGUUUGUUCCUUUUACUACUGCUUCAGUCGUAGUUCAGUUCAUCACUCUCCCGCUGUUCACUUUCAGAUUUGACACAAGCACGGAUCGGAACACUUGUUGUAUAUGAACACCUUGUCAUGCUUGAGUUCAUAUACAACUUCAGAGAGACAUGUAAGUUAUCCUGUAUUUUAACAUCCCAAUCUGAACUGGAGCAGGAAACUGUCAAUUGGUGCCGUCAGAUCUUAAGAAACAGCCCCAUGGCUAUUCGCGUGCUGAAAUCUGCACUCAACGCGGCAGAGGAUGGCCAUGCAGGCCUUCAGGAGCUUGGCGGGAAUGCCACACAUAUAUUCUACGGCACGGAGGAGGCAAAGGAAGGGAAGAACGCGUACAUGGAGAAACGACGCCCAGAUUUCUCCAAGUUCCCACGCAAACCUUGAGUUUCAGCUCUUUGCUGAACUGGCCAAUUCAUUAUUUCACUCCAAUCUGUAAUUGUCUAUUAUGAAUUUUAUGGGGGUUUUGGACUUGGGAUUAUUGAGUAGACAUGCGUACAACUAUGGUUAUGUGUGUAAGCCAAUGUUGACCAACAGCUUAAGUUGGUCUUCUUCUGAAUAGUCCAUGGGAGCGAGAGAUUGGAUGUCAUUGUUGUAAUUUUAUUUGUAAUUCAACAUGUGCUGAGAUUUUUAUUGGCUGCCAUACUCUCUCUAGAUGCUUUUUUAAAUGAAGUUCAUAGGUUUGCAAAAGUAAGUCACCAGUUUUUAAAAAUUAAAGAUGUGAUGGGUUUAGUGUUCGAGAUGCUGUAACUAUGAAUCUGUUGAUUUGGCUUGUCACUUCCAGAGCUUUGAUGGAGAGCAAGCUACUUAGUGGAACUACUCUCAUUGUAGACCGCUACUCCUAUUCGGGAGUGGCCUUUUCAGCUGCUAAGGGCCUUGACAUUGAGUGAUGCAAGGUGAGCUGCGUGCCAUACGGAUGAAUAAUGACUUGCUCUCUUUCAUUCAUGUCAAUAUAUAGCAGCAAACUAAGAAGUGAUGCCUAUUUAUCCUCUUUUCUAGGCUCCAGAAAAUGGACUUAUUGCUCCAGACCUUGUAAUAUUGUUGUGAAUGCAGUACGUUUGAUUUCUGUUGUAGUUCUUCUGUGAAAGGUUUCUAUACCUGUCCAUUUCGAAGCAUAUUUGAAGUAUGAAACUGUUAUAGGCUUAUAGGUUCUGUGCAUCUGCAAUUCAGAUGACUCAGUUGAUCAGUUGUAUGUUAGUAGCGAACCCCUUACAUUAAUUCAUGGGAUGUCGUAGAAACAAAUA
RNA transcript from Zea mays, 1799 nucleotides. It is a transcript of the gene named 1,4-dihydroxy-2-naphthoyl-CoA synthase, peroxisomal, with no coding region annotated. The record is from RefSeq and is a predicted model, not a curated record. Lineage: Eukaryota; Viridiplantae; Streptophyta; Magnoliopsida; Poales; Poaceae. The transcript has 3 exons.